RNAcentral lists this ribosomal RNA (303 nucleotides) under uncultured bacterium. RNAcentral describes it as "partial 16S ribosomal RNA". It matches the Rfam family "Bacterial small subunit ribosomal RNA", at positions 507 to 807 of the family's 1533-position model. The record is from RNAcentral.
AGCAGUCGCCGCGGUAAUACCGAGGGUGCGAGCGUUAAUCGGAUUUACUGGGCGUAAAGCGUGCGUAGGCGGCUUCUUAAGUCGGAUGUGAAAUCCCUGAGCUUAACUUAGGAAUUGCAUUCGAUACUGGGAAGCUAGAGUAUGGGAGAGGAUGGUAGAAUUCCAGGUGUAGCGGUGAAAUGCGUAGAGAUCUGGAGGAAUACCGAUGGCGAAGGCAGCCAUCUGGCCUAAUACUGACGCUGAGGUACGAAAGCAUGGGGAGCAAACAGGAUUAGAUACCCCAGUAGUCCCUGUCUCUUAUAC